AUGUGCCCGCGGACACUGUGGUUCUUCCGCGCCGUUUGCACACACCUGACGAUUACUCGCCCCGUUGUGUUCGCU
RNAcentral lists this small RNA (75 nucleotides) under Xanthomonas campestris. Its description in RNAcentral is "sRNA sX9". It matches the Rfam family "Xanthomonas sRNA sX9". The record is from RNAcentral. Lineage: Bacteria; Pseudomonadati; Pseudomonadota; Gammaproteobacteria; Lysobacterales; Lysobacteraceae.